UACAGAGGGUGCAAGCGUUGCUCGGAAUCAUUGGGCGUAAAGGGUUGGUAGGUGGUCUCAUUUGUCGGAGGUGAAAGCCUUGGGCUUAACCCAAGAAGUGCCUCCGAAACGGUGAGACUAGAGUUCUGGAGAGGCUAGGGGAAUUCCCGGUGUAGCGGUGAAAUGCGUAGAGAUCGGGAGGAACACCAGAGGCGAAGGCGCCUAGCUGGACAGAUACUGACACUCGAAACAAACGAA
RNAcentral lists this ribosomal RNA (237 nucleotides) under uncultured bacterium. Its description in RNAcentral is "partial 16S ribosomal RNA". It matches the Rfam family "Bacterial small subunit ribosomal RNA", at positions 524 to 757 of the family's 1533-position model. The record is from RNAcentral.